AUUGAACGCUGGCGGCAGGCCUAACACAUGCAAGUCGAACGAGUGGCGGACGGGUGAGUAAUGUCUGGGAAUCUGCCUGAUGGAGGGGGAUAACUACUGGAAACGGUAGCUAAUACCGCAUACUAUCGGAUGAACCCAGAUGGGAUUAGCUAGUAGGUGGGGUAAAGGCUCACCUAGGCGACGAUCCCUAGCUGGUCUGAGAGGAUGACCAGCCACACUGGAACUUAGACACGGUCCAGACUCCGACGGGAGGCAGCAGUGGGGAAUAUUGCACAAUGGGCGCAAGCCGGAUGCAGCCAUGCCGCGUGUAUGAAGAAGGCCUUAGGGUUGUAAAGUACUUUCAGCGGGGAGGCGUUACCCGCAGAAGAAGCACCGGCUAACUCCGUGCCAGCAGCCGCGGUAAUUC
RNAcentral lists this ribosomal RNA (406 nucleotides) under uncultured bacterium. RNAcentral describes it as "partial 16S ribosomal RNA". It matches the Rfam family "Bacterial small subunit ribosomal RNA", at positions 30 to 526 of the family's 1533-position model. The record is from RNAcentral.